This 43882-nucleotide long non-coding RNA is filed under the name Triticum aestivum (bread wheat). RNAcentral's name for it is "long non-coding RNA (TAES_LNC015997)". The stretch from base 41397 to 41482 matches the Rfam family "MIR1120/MIR1122 microRNA precursor family". The record is from RNAcentral. Lineage: Eukaryota; Viridiplantae; Streptophyta; Magnoliopsida; Poales; Poaceae.
GCUGCGGUGCUCCGUCCCGUGAGCUAUGUUAUACUGAUUGGUGCUUCUAAAACCGAACCACAUGAAAUCAAAGCAACUGGCGCACUGAAAGCACGGUUGUGGAGUGUGUAUUUCCAACAGAAAUUUUUAGCUUUUCAAAAUUUCCACCAUCUAGAGAGAGACAGAGUAGAGGUCUGUGCUGCCGUAUCCAGAAAUCCAGACCAGAUAUUCCUCACCGUGUAUGCAAUCUGUAAUUUAUACUCCCUCCGUUCCGAAAUAGAUGACUCAACUUUGUACUAACUUUAGUAAAAAAUUAGUAUAAAAUUGGGUCAUCUAUUUUGGAACAGAGGGAGUAUACAGGAAAACGGUUGGUAGAUGAACCCUGAUUGGUCAAAACUGCUCACAAGUUGUGUUUCCUGGAACUCCGGACCGUUCCAGUCUGUACGCUUUGGCCUGAUCUGGAAAACCAUGUGCUGGCAGUGCAGCUCUCUGGACAUGCGCGAGAGAGCUACUGGCUUCUGCAAGGCCGUUGGAGCCAAGCCACGGUAAACUCAGGAUAUAUAUCCGCAGUCGUUGACGUGCUAGUAACACUGGCCGGCUCAUCCUCAGGGAUUCUGAGGUACCAAGAGUGUUUUCUUAGCGUAGGCCCGAGAUUUUGGGAGCGUAGUAACAAAGCGACGUGGACUGCGUCGUAUGCAACAGAAAACGAGCGAUGUGGACUCGGGCGUACGAACAAUCAAUACAGUACAGUACGCUUUUCUUUUCUUCUCUGAGGGAAAUACUACUACAUACAGUACGGCCGUCGCGUCAGUGUCCGACCCUCUGUACUUGCCAGGCCCCGGUCUCUAUUGUUGACUGGCAACGAAUCUAUCGGGGGAAGGGUAACAAAUUCCACGUUCCCGCCGGCCAACUCUCCUGUUGGAAGGUGACAAGCUGCCCGUGACCCACGCCGGCCACUUGACCACAGAUCCAUCGUAUCCCGCGGCAUGUUUCGUUUGUGAGUGCCUAGUGGCUAACUAGUAGUGUGGCGACUAUGCAUGGAGCUUAAGGAAUAAGGAAGAAGAACAUGUCCCCUUAUAAAUAAAAAAGAAAGAAAAGGAAGAACAUGCCACCUACUCCUACAUUGGAAAGUCAUUAUGGGUGAUGCAAGGGUGUCGUCUCUUUGAUUUCAUAUCUGUUUUGAACUUAGAACCAUCUCAAGAGGCGAUGCAAAAAUCAUCAAGAGGCGAUUCGAAAUCAUACAAAAAUGAUUGUGUCUUAAUUUGUGCCACUCGGAGAUACAAGAGGCAACAAUUAUCUCUAACUUUUCCCUUGGACUGAACACACCGCAACCAAGGCUUAAAAUCAUCACAUCUUUCUUGCACUCUCUCGUGUCAAGCAAGUUGCUGACACGCACGAAGGAACGCUGCAUCCCGGCCGUCUAUGGGCUCGAUCCGACGGCUCCCGGAGUCCCGGUGACCCCUCCCCUUCUCAUUUCAAACCGGCCGGCCCACGCCCCGCCGCGCCCGCGCCAAACCCCGCCUUCCUCCUUCCGAUCCGAGCCUCCCGCGCCGAGCCGCGACUCUCACUGACAGCCGGGCUCCCACCACGUUACCCCGCCCGGCCGGUACGAGCUCGGCCGCUCUGAGGCUUCGACCGGGCCCACGUGGCAGCGAGAGAGGAGGCUCGCGGGGCGGCCGCAGCUUCGUGGAAGCUUCCCCCGAACAAUCUCCUCGAGAACGAGUCCCCAUUCGCGACCGAAAUCCGGGCCGCAGAGACAGAAAAAACAAAACAAAUCACCAAGCUCCGCACCAGCACCACAGUGGCGAAGCCGCAACGUACUUGCGCCGGCCUCGCCCGUGGAACCUUCUAGAGCCUUGACGGCUGGAGCGGCAGGUGAGGCGAGUGAUCCCUGAGGUGUUCGAUCGAUCCCGCGGUGAUUUGGUUGUCUGAGUGCUCCUGUGUGUGUGUGUAUCUGCAGGGUUUCUGGUCGUCGUCGUCGGUGUCGGUGUCAUCUCUCCUGCGAGCGCUGCCGCGGACGCGGCGGCUGGCUGGUGUCUGAUUGUCGGGCAUGGCGGUCGGGAGCUCGCCGACGCCGCCGGAGAUCCGCUCGCCGGAGCGGGACAGGCCGGAGGAUGCGGCGGGCGCGGAGGGGGAGGAGGAGGAGGAGUUCGGUGACGCCUUCGAUAUACCCCAUAAGAACGCAUCCCACGACAGCUUGCUCCGAUGGAGGGUACGGGAUCCUUUCUCCCCUCACCCUUUUCCGUCAGACUGUGAUCUAAGCCGGACUCUGCUGGCUCGCAAAAUGCCCAAAAUAUCGCCAUUCUGGUGUUGAUUCCGUCCUGGCUGGAAUCGGGACGUGCUAAUUCUGCGCAGGAAGAAGAGGGGGUAGAAGAGGAAUAAUCAAACACUAAUGUUUUUCGUCUAGUGGAUACACUACACUGAGGUUUACUGACAUGUCAUUGACCCGAUGAUUUACAUAUUACUUUCAUUUUUUGUCCGCGUUUCCUCUAAGUCAAGGCAUUGGAGUCUGUUUGGCGACACUACCUUUUUUACUGCCGUGCACAUGCACAGAGCGGCAGAUAACUUCUCAUAAUAAAACUGAAAACACAACCAAAGUACUGAAACCAGAGGUCUGUCAUUCAUUCAUCCAAACAAUACUGGUUUUUGUGGUAUUCACAGGUUUGGGACAUUACAGAAAGAAGCAAACAGUAACACUUUUACUACAGCUAUAAAAUCACACUUAUACUUCAGCUAACCAGGCACUUUUGCAUAAUAGUUGUGAGUUGGGUUCAUUACAGUUUGCUGUGGCUACAGGUGAAGGACUCUUCGGGGUAGACAAAUAUGAGCCUUACUUAUUAUUUAGUUCUGAUAAAUAUGUCUAUUCUCUCCUUUCAGCAAGCUGCUCUCGUGCUGAAUGCUUCACGUCGCUUUAGAUAUACUCUAGACCUUAAAAAGGAGGAAGAGAAAGAGAUAAUAAGAAGAACGAUCCGAUCACAUGCACAAGUGAUACGGGUAACGUGUCGUUUUGCAGCUUAUGCACCCUAUUUCUCUUUCGGCUGUCUUCUUUUGUUCAUUCUAAUUUUGAAUUCUCCAGGCAGUAUUUCUUUUCAAAGAAGCUGGAGAAAAUGAUCCCAGAGGUACUCAUUCAUACCAUUAACCCAAGUGCUUCUUUUAUGCUAUGUUUAUGGAUGGCACUGACCCAAACGGUAGAAUAACUUUGGUUUUCUACAUUUCCUUCCUAGAUUGCAUCUGUGCUUCUUAGCCACAAUGUACCAAAUGGUGGGGUUAUAUGCAAACAUCAUGAAACAAAACAGUUCCCAAAUUUCAUUGGUAGCUGUAGUCAUUCAUUUCUCUGAUUUGCCUUUUUAAAAUUGAUCUCUACUUCUAAAUGUGCAAUAUUACAGCAAAAUUUCCAGCUCAUUUAUUUCGUACAAUGCAGCCGCUAUCUUUAUUUGUCUUACCAGCCUAUUCUCCACAUUUUCCCUGAUCAUUUUGCUUGUCUUAUUGUUGCCAUUUCAGUUGUAUUUUUCUAAAGGGCAGUCUUUUCACUUUAUACUUGCAAUUAGUCCAUCUAUUGUAUCUGUGCUUAUUUUGCAUACAAUGUAAUUUAUAUUCUUGUGCUAUUUUCAAUGUUCCUCAUCUGGGCAGAAGCUUAUACUGGUAUACAACUUGCAACUGGCUCUCGAAGUUUUCCAAUUGAAUUGGAAAAGCUUAAAACUUUAAACAGAGAUCAUGAUAGUGUUCUUCUUCAGGAAACUAGAGGAGUAAGUUAACACUGAGCUAGAAUUUAUUUAUUUUAACCUCGUCACCUGCUGCUAUUCAUUUGUGUGUAAUGACACUCUUCUUUUCAGGUUAAGGGGCUGUCAGAUUUAUUAAAGAGUAAUUUAGACAUGGGAAUUAAUCCAACUGAGGAUGAAUUGUUACAAAGGAGGGAUGUUUUCGGAGCAAAUACAUAUCCACGCAAGAAAAGAAAAAACAUACUGGUAUAGCUUUUUAAUGUUAUUUCUGUAAGUAAAUUGCACAAGGUCAAUCUUGCAAGUUUCUAGCCACUUGCAAUUUCAGUUUCCUUAUGGGACAUCUGCUCUCUUCAUUAUCUAGUGUCUACAUAUCUCUUCAUCGUUCCUUCUUUAGUGUAUGCUUUUUGUGUGUCCAAGCAGGGUUAAGCGUUCCAGUUACAUAAAAGUUGUAUUUUGGCAUAAGCUCCUCACGAAAUUCGAAGGUCACUAUUGGAAAAUUUAAAGUGCAUCUAUGCUGCAUAUUAGAAAAGUUGAUUACGAAGUAGUCCUAUGAGACUUUCUUUCAGUCCAACAUCAACUCAAUUUCAAUGCUUCAACAUAUUUGGUAUCAAAUUUUAACCAUACUGAAUUUUGGUAUUGCAGCGUUUUAUAUUUGAUGCAUGCAAAGAUUUAACUCUCAUCAUUCUAAUGGUAGCUGCUGCCAUAUCUCUUACGUUGGGCAUGGCCACAGAGGUAUUUUCUACCUCUUCACUAAUUGUUUCCUUAGAAUUAGCCUUUCAUCAUGUCAUCUUCCUUAGCCAUGGUAGUUUUGAACUUGAAUAAUUGUCAUGCUUUAAGGAUAACUAUAACUGCAUUUGUUAUUUUUUUUUCUCUUAUCUAGGGUGUUGAGGAAGGAUGGUAUGAGGGGGGAAGUAUUUUUUUAGCUGUUUUUCUUGUGAUACUUGUCACCGGUAAUUGAUUGAGUUUGCACAUUUCCUAUUAUAUUUGUUUUGUUUUUGUCUUCACCUUUAGCUUGCUGUGAUCUAAUUGUUUUGUUUUUGAUCUAUCUAGCAACCAGUGAUUACAGGCAAUCACUUCAAUUUCAACAUCUGAAUGAGGAGAAACAGAACAUACAAGUAGAGGUGAGUAUGAUCAUGUGUAACUGUAUUUUUGUGCAGCAUUCCCACUUUUGCUUACAUUCCUGAUUUACCAUAUCUUUUAAUUAGGUUCUUAGAGGUGGUAAAAGAUUUCGAACUUCAAUAUUUGAGCUUGUUGUCGGUGAUGUGGUUCCGCUGAAUAUUGGUGACCAAGUAAGAUGGUAUAUUAUUUGUCAACUCUGUUUAUUUUUUCACCCUAGAAUAAUUUGCUUACAUUCAUUAUUUCACAUUUUAGGUUCCUGCUGAUGGUAUCCUGAUAUCUGGCCAUUCUCUUGCAAUAGACGAAUCAAGUAUGACUGGGGAAUCAAAAACUGUGAGUUCCGGUGCAAAACUUCUUUCUUGUGGCGAUUCAAACAUACUUCUUUUUUGCGGCGAGACUCAAACACACCUCUUCGGAUUUUCAUGAUGUCAUAUCAUUUUUUAGGUUCACAAGGAUCAAAAGGCUCCGUUCUUGAUGUCUGGUUGCAAGGUUGCAGAUGGCUAUGGUUCUAUGUUGGUGAGUACCACACUACCACUAUCUUAAGUUUUUUUUUUGCGGGGCACUAUCUUAAGUGUUUAAGCAACAUGUUAGGCUAACUUACUGUUUUCAGUGUCACAAUACAUAGCAUUUUUCUCUCCCUUAUUUGUGCCUUUCCUAUAUUUCGAUUCUUAAUGGUUAGACUUUAUAUAUCAUAAUAUUUAUCCACUUUGCCUAUCAAAUACAAAGGUAACAGGUGUGGGUAUCAACACUGAAUGGGGCCAGUUGAUGGCUAACCUUUCUGAAGAUAAUGGUGAAGAAACCCCAUUGCAGGUUAAUCUCUGUUCGGACUCAUCUAUAUUCUUGCAUGAAUGAAUACUGAUGAGACCCUUUCAACCAUGGAGUAGGUGCGUUUGAAUGGUGUUGCUACUUUUAUUGGCAUGGUGGGUCUGUCAGUAGCUGGUGUUGUACUUGGCGUGCUUGCGAUAAGGUAUUUUGCAUGAUAAUGCAGCACAAACAAAUAUACAUACUCUUUAUAACCACUUACUGAACUACAGAUAUUUUACUGGACAUACCAAGAAUCCGGAUGGGACUGUUCAAUUUCGGGCUGAAACUACUGGUCUCAAACAAGGAUUUAUGGGUGCAAUCAGAAUUUUAACAAUCGCCGUAUGUAUUUUUUGUACAAGUAUACAGCUAAUAUCUUGAACCAUUUUCAUCCUUUGGUGACCUGAUUUUGUGUAAUACUAUCCAUAGGUAACCAUCGUAGUUGUUGCUGUGCCUGAGGGACUUCCACUGGCAGUAACAUUGACGUAUGGAUCUCCUUACUGUGCAAAUUACUUGAAAAUUUCAGUCACAUGACUAUCUAUAUUUUGUGGUUUCAGACUUGCGUAUUCAAUGCGAAAGAUGAUGCGAGACAAGGCGCUGGUAAAAAAACAAUCCUAUUUCUGUAUAAAACAUUCACAUGAUAGGAAACUUUAUCAUCCUUACUUUCUUUAUUUAGGUGAGGCGGCUCUCAUCUUGUGAAACAAUGGGAUCAGCAACUACUAUAUGCAGUGAUAAGACAGGAACUCUCACCUUGAAUAAGGUUUGUAGAAUCAAUCUGGUGCUUGUGCCAUGAAACACCGUUUGAAGAUCUGUCAUGAUGCUAUUCCAAGUCCCAAUACGCUGCCCUGACAAGAGGCCAAUUCUUUCCAUUUACUUUAAGUCUUGGAACAUACCUGUCACUCUGUCAGCAUCGCAGAACCAAAAUUAACACAAAAACAUCACCAAUUUGAUGCCAGGAUCUUUGGGUGUUGAUAAUACAUUUCUUUAUUGUUGUUGGUUACAAGCACAUCUUCUGCUAAUUUUGUCUUUGCUUGUGGCCUUUUAAAGACCAUGUCAUCGUGGUUCGUUUUGUAAUCCUUAUAUUAUUGAUUAUGUAGAUGACAGUUGUGGAGGCACACUUUAUCGGGACAAGGUUGGAUCCUUGUGAUGAUGUUAGGGCAAUCUCAAGCAGUUCAGCGGCACUGCUUAUUGAAGGAAUUGCACAAAACACUACAGGAACUGUAUUUUUGCCAGAGGUAUAUCAACUUUAUUUCUUCCUUCUUUUAAUAUUAUUAGAGGUACCUGAAUUAUCUAUUAAAUUAGAGGUACCUGAAUUAUCUAUUAUAUCAGAGGUACCUGAAUUAUCUAUUAUAUUAGAGGUACAUGCAUUAUCCAUUGUCCAGAAAAGCAAUAACAUACAGGUCACCAAUCUGUAAUGUAUAACCCAGCUAGCCUAGAUUUAACUGAAAAGAUCAGCAAUUUUGAUUAAGUUAUGACUGGUUACAGCCACUUUGUAAAGAUUUGUUAGUUUACUUUUUAUGUAAAACAUGGUGGUCCAUAAUGCUAUUUGAGGAACAUUGGAGAUGGUAAUAGCUCAGUUUUCGCCAUCCGAUCUUUAUUUUUAAUGUUUUUUCAGGAUUUUUUACUUUUAUCAUAGGAGUUCAACUUAGUGUUCUCUUCUGUGCUAAUCGCCUGGGAGUGAGUGAACUUUGCACGUGGUCCUGCUACGUUUGAAAUAUAAGUGGUCAACAGUGGACAACAAGCACCUGGCCUCCACUUGCAGCUAGAAACAUGCACGUUCUGUAGUUUCUCUGCAGUACUCCUAUUCACUUGCUUGUGCAUGUUGAUAAACUGGGAAAGCGUCAGGCAGGAGAUUACUAACUACUUUCUGAAAGUAGCAAGCGGAGAUUGAAUCACAUUUCAAAUGAGAUCGAGUGGAGUCCAGAAUAAUGUAUCAGCUGUCAACACUUUGUCAGUUCCACCAAAUCCAUGAAAAUUAUGCUCACUUGAGGUUCUUAGCAGUGUGGAAAUUGGGUGUUAACAGCUGGUUACCUGUAAAGGCACUGUCCGAGUUAAAGAUAUGAUCUCAUAAAAUUACCCCAAUUUUAUUAUUUCCUGCCAUUAACCAGACAGAAAUCAGAACUGGGCAGAUGCUUGGAGGCAGUCUAGGGAGAAUUCUAUGCUAACUGUCAUCUACAUAUAUCAGUUGCUUCCACAAAAUUUCAUCUGUCUUCUUUUCAAUGUAUAGGAUGGGGGAGCAGCUGAUGUUACAGGUUCACCAACUGAAAAAGCCAUUCUUUCUUGGGGCCUUAAGGUACUACUGAUUUUGCUUCACACAGAGUGUCUCCUUUAAGCUUCUUUUGUUGACUUGGCCUAACGCAGUUGCACCUUGCACAGAUAGGGAUGGAUUUCAACGAUGUUCGGUCAAAAUCUUCAGUUCUUCAUGUAUUUCCAUUUAACUCAGAGAAGAAGCGAGGUGGUGUUGCAGUGCAGGUAGUAAGGCGCAUAUGUAUCUAGAACCAUUGGUACAUCUAAAUUCGUGAAUUAGACGAGUGUAUCCAUGAAGAAUUUAACCACUUUUCAGGCUUAUUUAUAUUUGGGUGCUUCAUUAUUCCAAUCCUUUGUAAUUUACCACAUGUAGUUGGUAAUAUAUGUUUUGGUUAUUAGUGCUUGUGAGUUGUGAGAGUUGACGCUAUCAAGUUUAACAGCUUCAGGACUAUUGGCUCCUGGUAGGCUGAUGUUUGUUUUCCUGCUGGAUAUCUCCCGGGCAUGGCUUAAAGGACGAGCCAUAUUUCUCACUUGAAGCACUCAAAUAGGGUUAUCUACCAGUGGCAAACAGUUUCUCAAACUUGUUUAAGUUUAAUAUUAUACCAACCAGAAGGGUUUUGAGAGUCCCCUUCGUGAUGACCAGUUACUUUUGACGGCACAGAUGGCUGGUAUUGCCAAGUAGUUCUCGAUAUGAGCAUUGGAUGCCAUUGAGCAUUUGUUCUGAUUAUAGCAUCAGGAGAGUGUUCCUUGGACCUUAUGUCUUUUAGUAUGCACAGAUCUAUGAUUUGAAUUACGCAGUGUGUACGUUGUUUUGGUAAAAACUCCUGUUUUCUAUUGUUUCGUAGCCCAGUUUUUUGUUCAUGUUACCUCAAGGGUGUUUGGUUACUAAUUGCAGUCAGAUACCGGGGUCCACAUCCAUUGGAAAGGUGCAGCUGAGUUAGUGCUAUCAUCUUGCAAAAGUUGGCUUUCUCUGGAUGGUUCAGUUCAGCCAAUGGAUGCACAGAAGGUAACUGCCAUGCAUAAUUUGCCACCUCAAUUUCUUAUGCACUCUUACAAUGUUGAAAUGUUUGCAGCGUAAUGUGUACAAGAGAUCAAUUGAAGACAUGGCAAAGAGUUCACUACGAUGUGUUGCUUUUGCAUAUUGUCAAUGUGAUAUUGAAAAAAUUCCGAAGGAAGACAUAGCUGAUUGGAAGUUACCUGAGGAAGAUCUGACUCUGCUUGGUAUUGUGGGCAUAAAGGUUGGUCCUUAUUGUUCGGUAGAUUCACUUUCAGAUUGAUUGUAUCUCUUAAUUUUGAGUUUGACACAAAUAACUAGGGUUGCUUCCCGAUACCAAAAGAUAGCCCUGUGUAUAGUGUCCUAUUCCAUGCUCUAUAGUGCCUGUGCUGGGAACAUAGGGUAUUCAGUUAAUCAAAUAUAUGUUUCACUGAUGCAUCAGCUUGCGGCUAUAUGUAUGCUCAGAUAGACAGAUAGUAUACGGCUGAUCUGAUUCAUCGUCUUAUGAUUUUCACAACCUAUCCAUGCUUUCUGGCUUUUGCUAAAACAUGAAAUAUACCAGUAUGCAUCAUAUUAUCUCUAAAUGAUUCAUCGCCUUUUGUAUGUAUAUGAGGCAUCAUAAUUUGCAAGCAUAAUUUCUUCUGGUUAGUCAUACUGCAUUACUUGAUGACAAUAUCCAUCUAUUACUCCUGCUAUAAAGAGUAUCUUCGCCUGUAGGAUCCAUGUCGCCCAGGAGUGAGGAAUGCUGUACAAUUAUGCAAAAAUGCUGGUGUAAAGGUAUAUCCUACUUGUGUUCUUAUUUUUCUUGUUCUCAUUGGAAAUGUUUCACCUCUAAUCUAUAUUAGUCAUCGACGGAAUGAACUGUGAAGCUAAAUCCUCCAUGGUAUUUCUCAUGUUCUCAAUUAGGUCUAGCCUUUUACUUCUCACAGGAUUGGCUCAUCAUGUUUGUAGCUGGGCAAGGUUUCUAGCCAUUUUCAGUUUCUUUACUUCCUAUGCCAUGAUGCUAUUCAUAUAAUUUAUUUUGUAUUUUGGGACGUUCAAUUGUUUGUGUCCUAUUCAUAAAACAUGACUCUUUGUAAACUUUGACCUUGCUGGUUAGUUUCUCAAUCGUUACAAAACAUGUUAGUUUCUUAAAGUUUUUGUUUUCCUUAAAAUGGAUUUUUUUCGUCAUUUCCCCAUUUUGAAUGUCACUGCUUCUUUUGUUGGCUUUAAUAUUUGUUACAUUUGUACAUGUAGGUGCGCAUGGUCACAGGAGAUAAUAUUGAAACAGCCAAGGCAAUAGCGUUGGAGUGCGGAAUACUAGAUGCAAAUGGUGUUAUUUCAGAGCCAUUUGUAAUAGAGGGAAAAGCGUUCCGCGAGAUGUCUGAAAUUGCAAGAGGAGAGAUUGCUGACAAGAUAACUGUAACUCUCUCCAUUCUUAAGUCCCUUGUGUAUAUAUGUUAUACUGUGUUGAAGUAAUAAACUUUAUCUGUACUAAGCACAAUGAUGUUUAUGACUUACUUGAAGUCAUUUGAAGUGGUGAAUCCUUUUGUAUAACUUCUAGUUUUUCUAUCCUUCUCAGGAAGUCAUUUUCUUUGAAGUUUCUGACAUUCUUCUGAUUGUUCGACAACUAAUUAACUUUGAAUUUCAGGUCAUGGGAAGAUCAUCUCCAAAUGACAAACUUUUGCUUGUCCAAGCUUUGAAAAGGAAAGGCCAUGUUGUGGCUGUCACUGGUGAUGGCACAAAUGAUGCCCCUGCAUUGCAUGAGGUGUCAUGUGUAACUCAUGAUAAGCUAUUAGUGGUCAUUUAUCUUGAUAUUGCAGAAGCUUCUGAUUUAUUCUUAUAUCUAAUGCUUGAUCUGUUGUAUAGGCUGAUAUAGGUCUUGCAAUGGGCAUGUCAGGGACAGAAGUUGCUAAAGAAAGCUCUGACAUUAUAAUCUUGGAUGAUGACUUCACAUCUGUUGUGAAGGUUAGUGUUUUCUACGUUUUUUUUUGGAAGAAAUCCUUCUUAUGAAGGAUAACUGUUCUCAGCAAUCAUGAUGGAGUUUUUUUAUGGGAUGUCCCCGAAGGGACAUCAUGAUGGACUUUUUCUUCUGUAACAAACUGGCAUGGUGCUUUGACGGCAAUAUACCAUCAAAGUAACCUGUGAGUGAUAUCAUAUUUUGUGCUAAUUGCUAUCAGCUUCAUUGCCAAAAGAGAGAAAAAAUGCUAUUGGUUGACAGUGUGUAGAGAGUACAGUUCAUGGAGAAGCACAUAUAAGCCCGUACAUGUUCUGAUAUGCUGCCUUAUGCUGCUGAAUAGCCAUGGCAUGUUAAGACUUAAACAUAGUGUAUAUGCAAAAUCCUUUGUAGAUUGUGCUUAGGCACAAAUUCUGGUCGCUCAACCUUCUUGUGAUUUUGUGCACUUACACCUCUUAUCUCUUUUUCUUUUUUAGGUUGUUCGCUGGGGACGCUCUGUCUAUGCAAAUAUUCAGAAAUUCAUCCAGUUCCAGCUUACUGUUAACGUUGCCGCACUUGUGAUUAAUGUUAUUGCAGCUGUGUCAUCUGGUGACGUGCCUCUAAAUGCUGUUGAGGUUGGGACCUCUCCUUUUUUCUUCCAACUAUUUUUCAAUCUCUAAUAUUUUCAUUACUGCCAUUGCCACUUCUGUUGUGCAUGAAAGAUGUGCCGAAAUCUUAAUUGUAAGUACAAACACUUGUAUGCCAAGGUUGGCUCUCAUGCACUAUGUUCCUAAUUUGCAGCUUCUCUGGGUGAACCUUAUCAUGGAUACACUGGGAGCUCUUGCUUUAGCAACUGAACCACCAACAGACAACCUUAUGAAGAGACAGCCUGUUGGUCGAAGGCAUGUAAUAUCACCCUACCUGUCUAGAGUAUCGCAUUAUAUGUUUCAUGAAAUGAGUUGAACUGUUUUCUACAUAAUUUACAAUAUUUUCCCUGUUUUCUACUUCAGGGAGCCACUUGUGACCAAUAUUAUGUGGAGAAACUUGUUUGUCCAGGUUGAAUUUGCGUGACUCAUUUGUAUUCUUAGAGCAUACAAUUGUUGUUUCAUAUUCUUCUGUUGUUCUGAUUUACAUGGAAUUUUUGCAGGCCAUUUACCAAAUAGCAAUCCUUCUUAUCUUUAAUUUCUCUGGAAAAAAGAUUCUACGGCUGCAGAAUGAAAGUCCAGAUAACGCCGAGAAAAUGAAGAACACAUUUAUCUUCAAUACAUUUGUAUUUUGCCAGGUUGGUUGGAUAUUUUCUGAUUCAACAACUGUAACAGGGUGUUACUUAAAUUCUAUGGUGCUCUUUAGAUAGAUUAAUAUUGGUAUUUGAUUUAUCUAAUAAAUGUUCAUGUUAAGGGUAGUAUAGUGGCAGUGGUUGUCAUCUUAAAUAAACUGACCUACCAUGUAAACUUAAGUUACUCCUUAUAAUAGGAUAUAUCAGUGUAAAUUGCAUUCUGUAAAAUAUUAGACUUGCUGUGGAGCUGACACCAUGAAUAGUGACUGGCUAGCCUGUAUCUGACCUAACAUGGUAACAAAAGCAUUGCUACUUAUGCUCCAUGGUGUAACUCUGAGUUGUGAAAAGGGGCAUGUGUCAAGGGCCCGAGGUCUUACGAAAUAAAAUUCCUCCAGUUGUUCAAAAAGUCUUCAUGAUGUGAAAAGGGGCAUAUGUCCUUAUUGUCAAUUACCGUGUGGUUUUUUCUUAAACCAGCCACUUCAGUGGCUUGGUCUUAAGGUUUCAACAUAUGUGUAAUUUAAGUUAGCCCUAGUUAAGUGCCACCGGUAGUUGCCUAGUUAUGUAUGUUUCUCUCCUCAAACCGGAGAAAGCAGGAUGCCCAGAACAUUGCUCGGGUAAAUGCUGAAAUGUCAUUGAUUAAUUAUCAACAAGUGCUAGUGUCCUAUGAAACAUUGUGUAGGUCGCAAAUGUAUCGUUAGUUUGUCAGUCCUGAUAGUUGAUUGGGAAUCAGCCUAUAAGCAGUCUGAUGCCAUUUUGGAACCUUGGCCGUACAUACUGCUAGACACUAUUAUUAGUUGGUCCCAGUUUGGGAAUCAACAAGUGCGAUCUUGUCAAAUGCAGUGGCGGUCCCAGUUUGAGGUAAACCACCCGAGUGUAUUAUGAUCUAUGUAAACUUAUCAUUACCAAAAAAAAAGAAUCAAGAAAUUGCCUCACACUGUACUUACUAAUAUUAGUUUUAUGUAGUUCUGAACAAAGAUCUCUUAAACUUGAUUUGCGUUUUAUACCAGAUCUUCAACGAGUUCAAUGCGCGUAAGCCUGAGGAAAGGAAUGUCUUCAAAGGAGUAACAAAGAACCACCUCUUCAUGGGAAUAGUUUGUGUAACUACCGUGUUUCAGGUAACAGGACAUGCAUGGUUGUUGCACUGAAUGUCCUAUCAUUCUUGUCCAUGAAGUGGUGAUAAAGUUGCUCUCUCCUUUGCCAGAUACUAAUAGUUGAAUUCCUGGGAAAGUUCUUUAAAAUUGUGAGACUUAACUGGAGUCUAUGGUUAGUUUCAGUUGCCAUUGGCGUCGUAAGGUACACACUUCAAAAUUUAUCAUUUAUGCAAGGUUUGCAAUUAGUACACUAUCCAUCGUUUUAAGGUUAUGUAAUCAAUGUGUCAUACAGUUAUUUUACGGAUCCAGAUGCCUUUUGGCCCCCAUUUUCUGUGUGACUAGGUUAAGGUUCAUAUUAACAUGCACUCUAGACAUUCCCGGGGUGUUCUAACAUCUGUUUUUUGUUUUUAUUUAUCAUGUACUUUUCGACUGUAAUCUCAUCAUGGACAUUUUGUGAAGUUUUGACCUCCCUUUUCUCUCUGAUGUUCCAGCUGGCCUUUGGCUUACCUAGGGAAAUUCAUUCCUGUUCCUGUAAGACCUCUCCAGGCCUAUUUCAAGCCUUGUUGGAAAUCAUCACGUCGAGGUAAGUCUCCACUCUAUAGUUACUGGAUAAUGUUCUGCAUCAACGUUGGUCUAACUAGCUUACCAUUAACGCGUACUGUAACGCAGACGAGGAGGAAGGCAGGCAGGGCUAAAAAGGAUGCAAAUCACCUGGUGUAAAUAGACAUGGGUCAGCCGAAGAACAGGAACCCGACCCGUACCACCUCUCCCAGUGGAGCAGAGCUGCGGAUUAUUUCUACUACAAGGAGAUGCAGUGAACUAGAAGCUUCCAAUGCAGGGACAGGUCAAGUGCAACCGUUGCUGUUAAUCAUUAUGGUUAUGGGGCUUCAUCGUGAUGCAGGUUAAUAUAAAUGAAAAUCCUACCUGGGAAGACAAUCAGUAGCAUCGCCACGGAAGUGACUGUUUUGUGAAUGUUCAUUGACUACGGAAGGUGACAUUUUUUUAUGCAAAUAAGUUGUGGUAGCUAGGACACACAUCGUAGGCUUAGUACAGUCCUAGGUGCCUUGGGGGUGUCAGACCUUCAUUUUGUUCAGGUUGAGUAAACUAGCAAGCAAUAAGAAAGAAUUAGCGGAAAUUUUCUGGUAAAUUUACACUGGAGUUCUAUCUUCAAAUGCUCAAAUGAUGAGGCUGUUUCCGACUUGGAUCAUCUUCAACAGAUGAUUCAUAAUAGGGCAGCUGCCAAAAAAAAAACUGUUUUUAGGGCCCUUGGACCAAAAUAUGAUGCUCCUGCGCUAUAUCUAUCUUGUACUGCAAUUUCUUUUUUGGGCAGCCCUAAAUUUUGCCCCCAAGUGCUGCAAAUUUGUAGCAGCCGGCCUGUUACCGUAAAACAAUUUCCCAGCCGGAACCAACUGACAUGAUGAAACUUCAUCCCGUAGUGCCCUGCCUAUCCCCUCGACCGCCGCUGGCUUGAUCUUGUCCGCCAAUGCCACCGUUGUGAGUUCGCAGUACGCCCUCGGCGCUGAUUCGAGGCUAUUUCGGCCAGCCGUCGCCGCCCAUUUGAUGGAUGUAGACGUGGACUAGUGGCCGCCAAAGUGUCGGGUUGACCACGCAAUGGCCGUGACAGAACCGAGUCGCCGCUACUUCGGAUGGCGUCAAUGGCACAUCAUCACCAUUUUUGCCGCAAGCUCGUCCUCUGUGGCGCCAACAAUGUCCUCCCAGGCCAUUUCUACCAGGCACGGCCAUCACCUCAAUUCCCACGAGCUGCCAGCCGGAUUCCUCCUCCUUGUACGCUAGGUGUUCGAGGAAUUGCCUAGAAGGUAUUUUUUUUCACUUCUUGUAUUGUUGUUCUGCACAGAGGAGUAGAUUGCAAUGGAAAUUAUUGUAUUAUUAUAGAUGAGUAUUAUUGUAGAUGAGUUCAUUUGAACCCUCUAUGUGGGAUGAUUCUUCGUCCGAAGAGGAAUAUGACAUGAACGAAGAGGAGGACAUUGCUUUAGUUUUGUUGAUGCACAAGAAAGUAAGAGGCUGAAGCAUGGUGGUUCCGUUUUCAGCUAUGAGGUGAUUCGUAGGAUUAGGCAAGAUGGGCACAACAGAUUGAUGCUCAACAAUUUUGUUUCAAAUGUGAUACUUCCCACACAAGCAUAGGUUGUCUUGGGAUUUGUUCCUUCACGUUGCUAAUUGUGUGAAGCAAUAUGAUCGGUUCUUUGAGCAGGGGAGGAAUUGCGCCGGAGAUCUUGGCCAUAACACUAUCCAGAAGGUGAAUGGCACAUUGCGCAUGAUGGCAUAUGGUGUUCCGGCUGAUUUCAUUGAUAAUAACUUGACAAUGGGAAAGAGCACUUCAAUCUUGCGCGUCAAUAAAUUUGCGAAGGCGGUGGUUAAAGUGUUUGGAGCAGAGUAUUUGAGAGCAUCGAAUGCUCAUGACACUCAAAGAAUUUUGGAGAUGAACAAAACACGUGGGUUUCUAUGCUUGGAUCAAUUGAUUGGAUGCACUGAAGGUUGAAGAAUUGCAUGCAUUUUCUCUUAUGCCUGGAUCUUGCAAUGACAUCAAUGUGCUCUGGCGGUCAUCACUCUUUGCAAAGUUAGCCAAUGACGAAUCACCAUAUGUGGAAUUUCAAGCAAAUGGUCGCACAUACAACACGGGCUACCAUCUUGCGGACGAGAUAUAUCCGAAGUGGGCUACCUUUGGAAGCCAAUUUCAAGCCCCAAGGUAAGAAAGAACUUUAUUUCCAUAAUGCUCAAGCGGUUGCUAGAAAAGAUGUGGAGAGGGCCUUUUGGGAUUUUACAAUCCCAAUUUGCAAUUGUGCGGACUAGCUAGGUAGGUUUUGGGUUUAGAGACCCUUUGGUACAUCAUCACAGCCAGCGUGAUCUUGCACAACAUGAUCAUUGAGAAUGAGGGUGGGAAAGAUUUGGAUUACACCUUCUAUAGACUCAUGGGACAACCAGUGUGGCCGCGUAGAAGGGAAGACCGACUCCGACGCUGAGUGUAACAUGACAUUUGAGAUUUCGAUAAGUACAAAUAUCUUCAAAAAGAUUUCAUGGAGAAGUGGUGGGCAUGGCAUGGGGCAACAAGCCCACUAGUUUCAUAUCCAUGUUUCACGUAUGUGUGAUGAUGAACAAUUUGUGUUAUGUUUUAUGAACAAUUUAUGUUGAACUUAAUGUUUUGGAUUGAUGAACUAUGUAAUAGUUAAGUACUAUUUGUGUUAUAAUGGUUUUGGAUUCAUUUGAGAUGAGUUUGAUUUUUUUGAAUAUGUACAUAAUUGUGGAAAACAAAAACAUAGUUGGGUUGCCCUAUUUCACAUCAUCUGCUACAGUAGAAUUUUAUUUAUGUCCUAAAACUGUUUUUGAGUGCCCUAUUUUACAUCAUGUGUUGGAGAUGCACUUACAGUCCUAGUAGUAGAACAAAACGUCUCUGAAGAUUAGGAGGAAAUAGGUUAAGUUGACAUACCAGAUAUGAUGCAUUUACAUAAAAAAUAUGAAAAUGUGUCGAGGACCUUCCACACUUCGCCCAUUAUGCAGGGGGUGGUAUCCUCAUUUGCAUGUGUUUAAUCUCCUCUAUUCUCUGGGGCUAUAUUCGUGUUGCAAGGACUUCUCCAUCUUACUUAAUACACACACAGAUGUGGUGCAAGCAGUCUCCAGGACGAAACUUGAGCACCCUGUGAUGACGUCUGAGGGAUGGAAACUGAUUUUGAUUAAAAGGAAAAGCUUCCUUUACCACCAACCGCCCUUGCAUCGAUGAAGUAUACGACAUCAUUGAAUACUUUACUACAAAUCGAUAAAUCAGUAACCUUACCAAAAAUGGGACAAGCCAUGCCUAUUAUGCACACUAACUAAACUAAAAUAUAAAUUCCAUGGCAAGCAAUUCGAGAAUCUUGCACCAAGCUGUGUCAACAUUCCAAUCCUUGUGUUGGGAUGGCUGUAAUAAAUUCCAUAAGACCAUAACCACAACCAAGUGGUACAUGAGAACAACACCUGCACACAUGAUUGGAUCUUUUGUGCCCACGAAAAACUAUAUCACUCUGAUGUAACCAAAUGGAGCAAAAAUCAUUGUAUCCCUAACCAAAAUAGGCGAAUGCAAGUACUUAUUCACCCAGCGGCCAUGACACAACAAAUAAGCUAGGCCACACAGGUGACGGAAGCAACCAUAGAAUGACUACUGAAGAAAUGCCCAUAGCACUGAAAGCAUCCAUAGGGUGACUAAUCAAGAAAUUCCCUCCGAUAAUAGUAUCUAGCACAAAUCUAUACCAAGUAGUAACACCCACAUAAAAAUUGCGAAGAAGAAUGGUAGUAGAUUGCUUACGAGUUGAUCUACUUUGGGCAUUGCAAAUCCUAUACCAAGCAUCUUUUAAAUUCUCCUCUCCCCUUUGUUUAAAAUUGAGAACUUCAUUUUUAGGGGUACACGAAACGAGAGAAGAACUAGCCAUAACGAUAAAGCGAGCAAACAAGCAAAGCAAGAAACGGAAAAUAUUUUUGCAUUUUUGUGAAAAUAUUUUAGAAGUACGGGAAGAUGAAAACGAGAGGCAAAUGACAAAUAAUGUAAAUGCAAGGAGAUGAAAGUUUAUGCGAUGGUACUUGAUAGAUGUUGAUGAUGUCUCCCUCGCAACGGCGCCAGAAAUUCUUCCUGCUACUUGUGAGCUGCGUUGGGAUUUCCUCGAAGAGGAGAGGAUGAUGCAAUACACUAGAGAUAAGUAUUUCCCUUAGUUAAGAACCAAGGUUAUUAAUCCAGUAGCAGCACCAGGCAACACCUCGUCAGCAGUACCUACACACAAAAUAACAAAUACUUGCACCCAACACGAUCAAGGGGUUGUCAAUCCCUCGACGGUUAAUUGGAAGGAUCAAAUCUCAUAGUGAUAAAUAGAUAAUUAAAACACAAAAUAAAUAAAUAAAAUUUGUAGCAAUGUAUUUUUGAUUUUAAUAUAUGAUAAAAAGUAGACCCCGGGGCCAUAGUUUUCACUAGAGGCUUCUCUCUUGAAAAUAGCAUAUGGUGGGUAAUUUUUUUACUAUUGAGCAAUUGAUAGAAAAUCAAAUAAUCAUGACGAUAUCCAAGGCAAUGAUCAUGUAUAUAGGCAUCAUGUCUGAGACAAAUAGACCAACUCCUACCUGCAUCUACUACUAUUACUCCACACACUGACCGCUAUCCAGCAUGCAUCUAGAGUAUUAAGUUCAUAAAGAACAGAGUAACGCAUUAAGCAAGAUGACAUGAUGUAGACAAAGUAAACUCACGCAUGAAUAAAUAACAUCUUUUUAUCCUUAAUGGCAACGAUACAAAUACAUGCCAUGUCCCUUUCUAUCACUAGGAUUGAGCACCACAAAAUCGAACCCAUCACAAAGCACCUCUCCCAUUGCAAGAAAAAUCAAUCUAAUUGGCCAAACCAAAUCAAUAGAUCUAAGAGAAAUACAAAGGUACAGAAUCAUACAUAAAAGAGUUCAGAGAAAACUCAAAUAAUAUUCAUGGAUAAUCUGAUAAUAAACUUACACUACAAAAAAAGACAUAUCCUGACAUUUUGGGCCGAACGAAUUUUUUUCUGUCAUACAUAUGACACUUCUAUGACGAUAAUUGUGACAAAACCCGGUAUCAUCAUAGAUGUGGUGGGCUCCUACUUCUAUGACAAAAAAUCAUGACAGAAAAUGGGCUUUUCAUCCUGGGCGGGCCGAAGACGCAACUGCAUGACAUUCUUUGGGUCGUCCAUGACAGAAAAAACCAUGGUAGAAGCGAGGGGGAGGAAAAUUUUGGGAAGUUGUCGGUUACGGUGGGAGGUCGGGGGCCGAGCGAUGCGUGUUUCUCUCGUACAGGUACACGCGUGCGUGCGAGGCGUUGGGCUCUAACUGAACCCGAGCGAUUGCACUGCAGGCUACGCGUUACUGAACCCGAGCGAUCGAUCGAUGGCUGUUAACUGAACCCGAUCGAGCGAUUCCUUCGCUACUGCUGCCAACUGAAGCCGAUCGAUUGGANNNNNNNNNNNNNNNNNNNNNNNNNNNNNNNNNNNNNNNNNNNNNNNNNNNNNNNNNNNNNNNNNNNNNNNNNNNNNNNNNNNNNNNNNNNNNNNNNNNNNNNNNNNNNNNNNNNNNNNNNNNNNNNNNNNNNNNNNNNNNNNNNNNNNNNNNNNNNNNNNNNNNNNNNNNNNNNNNNNNNNNNNNNNNNNNNNNNNNNNNNNNNNNNNNNNNNNNNNNNNNNNNNNNNNNNNNNNNNNNNNNNNNNNNNNNNNNNNNNNNNNNNNNNNNNNNNNNNNNNNNNNNNNNNNNNNNNNNNNNNNNNNNNNNNNNNNNNNNNNNNNNNNNNNNNNNNNNNNNNNNNNNNNNNNNNNNNNNNNNNNNNNNNNNNNNNNNNNNNNNNNNNNNNNNNNCCGGUGGAGUAGCGCGCGGUGGAGGCUGGAUGAACAGGAGCCCGUGGAGGCUGGAGGAGGUCGACGGUAGCCCAUGGAGGCUGGAGGAGGUCGACGGUGGAGAUGAAUAGUAUCCCGUGGAGUCCCGUUUUGCGGUACGCCACACCCCUCCCGAUGAACAGGACCCCCGUUUCGACCGUAGCGCUCCAACAUAAGUCCGUUUCAUCCGUUUUGCGGUACGCCACACCCCUCCUGAUCAACAGGACCCCCGUUUCGACCGUAGCGUUCCAACACAAGUCCGUUUCGUCCGUUUUGCGGUACGCCACACCCCUCCCGAUCAACAGGACCCCGUUUCGACCGUAGGAGGUCCGUUUCCUCCGUUUUGCGGUACGCCAGACCCCUACCGAUGAACAGGAUCCCGUUUCGAACGUGGCCGGUCGAACACAAGGCCGUUUCCUCCGUUGUGCGGUACGCCAGGCCUCGUUUCCAUCGCCUAUUCCGUCCAAGCCCUCCCGAUGAACACGAGCACGCAUUCCGUUCCGACCCAGUCGGUUGGCUCCCCAUGAACACGACGACGACGUUGUUUCUCUGUUCUGACCCAGCCAUGUACGUAUGCGCGAGUAGGCGUUUGAGACCCCGCCCGUAUGUACACAUACGUGUCCGUAUUUUCUUUCUUGCACCCCGGCCGCUGUACGUACAUGUACAUGCUACGUGCGCGCCUCUACUAUGACACGUGCGCGCCUUUACUACAACACGUGCGCGCCUCUACAUCGACUAGUAUGUACGUACACGUUCGUGACCAGGAUGACAAUGCUACGUACGCUUCGACCAGGUGGGUGCCGACUGUCAGGCACUUCCUUGCCUGCGAAGAUGUAGCUGGUGGGUUCCAGCAGUCAGGGGGGCAAAUCGUUUUUUUGCCCGGACACACUUCCUUGCGUGCGAAGGUGUAGCUGGUGGGUCCCAACAGUCAGGGGGACGGAUCGUUUUUUUUCACCCGGACGCACUUCCUUGCGUGCGAAGAUGAAGCUGGUGGGUCCCAGCAGUCAGGGGGAAACGUUUUUUCCACGAAAUAUAGUGGCCCGUCCGGUGGGUCCCAGCUGCCAGGUGGAGGAAUCAUUAUUUUCUGCGUAAUAAGGAGGCACUUCCUUGCUGCGGCCGUGGACCCAGCUGUCAGCCUCUCCACGUACAGUCCACGUCCGAUGGAAGUCGUUCCUUGACCACGUUGACCAGGCCGUGCCGAGAGCACCACGGUGGUGGACGACGGCGAGGCCUAGGAAGGGGACAACGCGGAGCCGGGAAAGACGCGGCAGUGAAAGCCCGCGCGGAGAGGAGUACGAGGGUUCACUGGUUCGGCUAUGGUGUGAGGCUGCCAUCGGCGCAGGGCCUGGCCAGCGGUGGGAAUAGUAGGGGGCGGUGAGGCCUCCGCGGCAGCACAGCCGGCCACGGGAGGCAGGAGCAUGCGGCACGACCGGCGCUGCUUUGGGCGGCUGGAGCAAGAAGACCAGAGGUUGAAGAAGCACUACAGCCGUUGGAUGGACAUCGUACGGUUACUGGAGCUAGAAUCGUUCAUACUGACUAAGUUGACAAACCCCUCCUUCCCCGUCAACUUAGUUGGCCCACAAGUCAUCCUCCCACUAUGGUGGGUCCCAGCUAGCAGGGGGGUAUUCAUUUUUUGUGCGUAAUAAGGAGACACUUCCUUGCGUGCGAAGAUAUAGCUGGUGGGUCCGACAUGUCAGCGGGAGGAACGUUUUUUCGCGAAAUACAGAGGCCCUUCCGGUGGGUCCCAGUUGUCAGGUGGAGGAAUCAUUAUGUUGCACGUACAGUCCACGACCGAUGGAUGUCGUUUGUUGACCACGUUGACCAGGCCGCGCCGAGAGCACCAUGGCGGUGGACGACGAUGAGGCCUAGGAAGGGAACAGCACGGAGCCGGGGAAGACUCGGCAAUGGUUGCCCACACGGUGGGGAGUACGAGGGUUUACUGGUCCGGCUGUCGUUGCCGAAAAAUAACAGGAGGUGUGGGUGAGUAGAGGAAUGGCCUGGCCAGCAAUGAAGUAGGGUGGGAUGGUGCGGCCUGUGUGGCAGCACAGCCGGCCAUGGGAGGCGGGAGCAGGCAGUCCCACCGGAGCUAGUUUGGGCGGCUGGAGCAAGAAGAUCAGAUAUUGAAGAAGAAGCACGACCGUUGGAUUAACAUCCAACGGUCACUGUUACUAGAAUCGUUUGUGGACUAAGUUGACAAAGCCAAAGUACACGUCAACCUAGUAGACCCACAAGUCAGCCUCCAAAUCUGUCCCAAACAACAUACAGCCAGAAAUUUCUAGCCAGAUUCAAAUUAAUUUUAAAUCUAAAUAUACCUUAAUUUAAAUUCAAUGAAAUUUUACCCGCACAAAAACAAUGAAAUUUAAAAUAUCAAAAUCCGAAAGAAAACAAUAUUUUGGAACUAAUUGCCUGUUUGCUGUAUUUUUUUCAUUUUACAGCCCAUUUAUUAUUACUUAUAGCCCAUUUCUUAUUACUUAUAGCCCAUUUUCUGGGCAAAAUGCAUCCCUCCUCAUCUUGAAAGAUUUCUGGCCCAGCAGGGCAUAGAAAAGCAAGUAGGCCUAUGUUGGUUAUUCUGCAAAAAACAAAAUAGCUGGCUAGCCAUUUUUCAGAAAGGAAAAAAACAAACUGGGCUGGUCAUGUGCUAAACAUAUGAAAUAAAAGCCUGGGCUAGACGGGCCACGGGUCCCGCACAACCCAGUUGAUACCCUUCUCCAUCCCGAAAAAACAAAAUUACUGCACGCGCUGCUGGGUCCCUACUGUCAUCCUCACCAUGUACAGUCAUCUCCUUAUUCCUCUCGGUUGUUGACCAUGUUGACAACACCGGAGGGUAGCGCCACGGCGAGCGAACUAAGGCGGAGGACGAUGGUGAGGCCUCAGACAGGAACGAACAGGAGCCUGGGAAGAUCACAGCCAGCCAUGGGAGGCGGGAGCAGGCGGUCCCACCGGCGCUGGUUUGGCUUUGGCGGCUCGAGGAAGAAGAGACUGAAGAAACGCGACAGACAUUGAAUGUCAAUCCAACGGUCAAGGUUGGCACAAUCGUUUUUUGACUAAGCGGACACCAAGUAGCAUACUUUUUUAUAUAUAGGAAGAAAACUGCGAGGAAAAUGCGUUCGUCUGCAGUCCUCCUCACAGGGAACGUUCACCACAUAAGUGACUAGGACCCUUGGUUUUCAACCGAGAGGUCUUGGGUUCGAGUCUGAGGAACUCUCAAUUUUGUCCUCCUUCCUUCCUCGCAAAAAAAGGGAAAGAAAAUCAAAGACUUGGGAAGGCGUACAGAAUAAGCUAGUGUACCAGGAAAGAGAUGUUGCCAAGUUUUAGAAAAAAGAAAGACGUGCUCAUGUAGCUGGUUCGAAUCCAAACCUAGACUAUGACUAUAUAUGGUGCUAUGCUACUCUAUAAGUAAUGAAACUGACAUAUCCAACGUUCGCUUCUCCUCUUCUCUACUUACUCUGCCUAGCAUCAGAAGCUCUGGCCGCAGCAACCAUGUUCGCUGGCUGCUCGUCCACCUGCUCUUCAGCAAGCAACAACCAGAUAUGCGCCAAGUCACCACCCGUACCAUCGCCUGUGGGUCUCAUCACACCCCCACCGACAUGUGCACUACAACCAAUUGCUCAUCGCAACCCGAUGCCAUUGGUGUGGAGCCACUGCUGCAAAUCACGCAGAGUCAUCCAUCGCGUCUCAACCACAAUCCGCAACCCUGGCCGAGUCUUCUACAAAUGCCCGAAUCAUGGGGUAAUAAUAUGUUUAAGUGUUGUUCUGCUGCUUUCAGUUGCUGAUUUUUUAAUAGUUUGGUUGAUGAUCUUCCAAUUUGAUUCGUGCAGAAAAGGGAAGAUUCGUGUGAUUUCUAUUUCUGGGAAGUUGCUGAUGCCGGGGAAUGCAACUACGCUGAUUAUUUGGUUAGCCAAGGAAUCCCAAUACCAGCAGGUUGGGGUGUUGGAUAAGUAACUGAAGGAACGACAGAAGAGGAAGAUGCAGAGCAGAAAGUUAAAGAUGCAGUUCCUCUGAUCAUGGCCAAGCAACAGCUACUGAACGGCCUUGACAGCAAUGAGGAGAUGAAAGAGCUUGUGAAGAUAAUGGGCAAAAUUGAUGUGCUCUGUAGGAUGAUUGUCUCUUUAUUUGCAGUGUAUAUAGCACUCGUAAUGUAUUAGGUGGCUAUGACAUGAGCACUUUGCUGAAACUAGUAAUGAAUGAAACCUGUGUAGCAGGCUGGGCGUAGUGUUGUGAAGAUCUAAUGAUUCCUAUUAAUGGAAAUCAGGGGGUAUCCCCUUUUGCUCAUAUAAAUAAAUAAAUAGCAGAGGCCCUGUUGGGUCAGCUUUGUUCUCAUUCGAAGACGUCGAGCAAAUUGCAGUCCAAUAGCAAAUUAUGUCAUCAAAUUCAAGUUUCACAACCAAAUAUGAGUACAACUAAACAACAAUGUCAUCAUGUUUUAGUUGUCAUACAAUCACCAAACACAAAUCAGCAUACAUAACAAGUGAUGUUCUCACAGCAAAAUACUAAACAACAUGUUCAUCAGGUUUCAGUUGUCAUAGCAAACACAAUUUCGCAUAGUAGAUAAAAAACGUCUUCUGACAGGCAAAUACGACAAAAGCAAUGUAAUCAUCAUCCACAACAGCAACGUCAACAUCUUUGCCAUGUGUAUCAGUCUGAACCGUAAUUCCCCACGGUGUCAUCUUCUUCUUCGUCCUCAACGUCCUCGAACGUUGGCUUCUUCUUGAUCAACUCUUGUAUGUCCACAGCACAACAUGCAAUCUUUUUGCCGGCAUCAUUGACGUGAUGGUUCUCAAAGAUAUUAGGAACAUUUGUGUUAUCUUGUACAUCAAGAGCAGUGUAAGCAUCAUCUUGUUGUGCAACUUCAUUAAACAAAUUCCUCUGCUCAAACCUUUGCAAUACUCUCCAGUCAUCGCUACAUGCAACUAUGUCUUCCAAGAAAAAUAUCUGGGUUGCUUGAUUUGCCAAAAUAAAAGGCUCGUUGGUCUGGUACGCCACCUUGACAUUGAUGGAUUUGAAAUAAUCAUCAGCUCUGGGUUUUACGAUCCUGGAAAACAGGUUAUACCAACGACAACACAACAGAACCACACACCGAUGAUCCUCGAAACUGGAGAUAUACUGCAACUGAACAAUGUAUGUUAUGUUAGCAUACAUUUCAGUUCUCUCUUUGUCAUACGUAUCCGUGCUCAUGAUGACACUGUUUUGUGUCUUCCUGCCUUUGUCUCGUGCAAGGGUGUUGUAGCGCACAUCUCCAACAACGCAAGAUUCAUAAUGUCUUACCCGAGUAUCAGGACCCAUUGCUAGUGAGUAAAGGGCAUCAUCAAUUGCCUACCCAUCCUACCGCAUCUUCUUAACCUAUGGUUAGAAAAUAGACAAGCUGAUCAUCUUAUGUACUCAAUAUAUUAAAAAAAACUGACAGUGCACUUCAAAAGCUUACAUGGUCCUUGAACCAUUUCGUAAAUCCUGCCAUAACCAGUUUGUCAAUGUUUCUUGGAUUUUGCGGUAGUAACUCCUCUUUGUAGAUGCUGCACAACAUAGUGAUUGUGUCAAACAUCUAAAUAUAUAAGAGUGUGAUGCAAGUUUAGUAGAUUACGAUGUAUAAGCUGUAGUACUGCACUUACUUGAUAUAAGGUAGUAUCUCAGGACAGUUAUUCAACACAUACCAAACCAUUUUGUCCAAAUCUUUAGGUUUGUCCUCUUGUCGACUCUUCCCUGUAACUCGAACAGAAUAAUCGAAAACAUUGAGCCCGGGAUUGUCUUCACCCACCUCUUUGCUAAGCUGAUCAGCUGUUUCAAUGUAUUUUGAGCAGAAUGUCAACGCUUCUGUAGCAAUGUAGGCCUCUGCAAUGGAACCCUCGGGUCUAGCUCUGUUCCUAACAUAGCCCUUGAAAGUGCCUAGCCGGCUUUCAAUAGGGUACAUCCAGCCAUACUGUACUGGACCUCUAAGUAGUGCCUCAUCAGGUAGAUGAACAGCCAAAUGCACCAUCACAUCAAAGAAGGCUGGAGGAUAUAUCUUCUCAAGGUCGCAUAGGAUAGUUGGUAUCUUGUCUCUAAGAUGCUCCAAAGCAUCUAUCCUGAUAUUUCUACUACAGAAUUCCCUGAAGAAUUGUCCCAACUCUGCAACUGCUCUGUAUAAGUCAGGGCGGCCCAAUCCUCUAAGGAUAACAGGUAAAACCCUUUGAAGUAGGACGUGGCAGUCAUGAGUUUUCAACCCUUGUACCUUGUUUCCAUCUGCACCGACUCUCCUUUCAGGGUUGGAAGCAAAUCCAUGUGGGAAUCUCACACGUGACAGGACCUCGCAGAAUUCUUUUCUUUUUACCUUGUCCAAGACGUACACAGCUGGUGCCAUAUCCCGUGGUUUACCUUCAUCUUGCACCUGCAAAUCCUUUCUGAUACCCAGGUGUGUCAAAUCAAUCCUAGAUCUUAAGGUAUCUUUCGUCUUGCCUUUAAUGUUAAGAAGUGUGCCGAUAAUGCUGUCACAUAAAUUUUUCUCGAUGUGCAUCACAUCAAGAUUAUGCCGCAGAUCCAAAUCUUUCCAAUACUCCAAGUCCCACAAAGUGGACCUGCGGGUACACAAUAAUCUCUCUUCUACCGUGCCAUGCUUCCUUUUCCCGCUACCAUUACCAGGAUGGUUUCCUGGUGUAAUAUGCAUGACCUUCUCUAAUUCGACUUGCAACUCAUCGGCUGUGAGCCUCUUUGGCGCAUCACGGUUUUCAUGUUUUGCACUGAACACAUGUCUUCGGUAUUUUCUAGGAUGCGGCUUGUCCUUGGCAAGGAAACAACGGUGUCCAAUGUAACAAAUCUUGCUAAGUAUUGCGUAUGAUAGCGGAUUCCUAUCACAGCGAACACAUGCAUUGUAACCAUGUGUCGUUCGCCCUGACAUAGUGCCCAAAGCCGGAUAAUCAUGGAUGCACCAAAUUACAACAGCACGCAGAAAGAAAUCAAUUGGUGGGCUGCGAUAUAGGUCUCGAGUGAGAACAUCCUUCCAUAGCUGUUGAAGUUCCUCCACAAGAGGCUCCAUGAACAAAUCAAAAUCCUUUCCAGGACUUUUUGGACCUGGGAUGAGCAAGGCCAUCAUGUAGUUUGAUUCUUUGGUGCAGACAUUUGGAGGCAUGUUGUAAGGGAUAGCAAGCACUAGCCACAUGCUAUAUGUGGCGCUCUGGUGGCCAAAUGGGUUAAAUCCAUCUGAAGCUAAGCCAAGUCUAAUUUUUCUUGGGUCAGCAGCAAACUCUUUGUGUUUAUCAUUGAAGCUUUUCCACUCACUACCAUGAGAUGGAUGGCUCAUUACAUUCUGAUCUCUGUACUCCUAGUUCCUAGAAUGCUACAGUACAUCCUCUCUUGUUUCAGCAUCAUGAAACAACCUCUGCAAUCUUGGUGUAAUUGGAAAAUGUCUCAGAACAUUAUGAGGAAUCCUCUUCACAGCUUCGCCAUCUUUCCAUCUUGAUGAUUUGCAUUUCAGGCAUUCACGUAAGUUGGCAUAAUCCUUCCGGAACAGAACACAAUUAUUCUUACAAACAUGGAUCAUAUCAUAUCCAAUUCCAACUGCACGAAGGAAAUUCUUCAUUUUACUGUAGGUGUGUGGCAGCUUAGACGCAUCUGGGAAAGAUUUGCGGAAAGCAGCCAACAUCGCAUCGAAUGAUUUGUUGGUCAUCCGCUCAGAUGUCUUCACCUGAAGAAAGGUGACCAUAGCUGAGAAUACUGACAGCUUAUUUCCUGGGGUGACAACAACGUUGCAUUGUUCCAACAUGCGGGCCCACCGUUUUUCUUCUGCAGGUGAAAGUUCACAGAAUGCUCGAGCAUUUCGUAGCAUUGUUUCAAUGUUGGUCAAACUCACUGGCUCCGCCACCACCACCUCCUCCUCCUCUUCCACCUGAGCAUCAAGCAGAUCAAGAUGGUGAUCUGCUGCUUCCACGUAGUCAAUAACAUUGAUGUUCACAGCUUCACCAUGAUGACCCCACCUAGUACAUGUGACCGACAUCCCAUACAAGUGUAGAUGAUUUUGCACAGUUGACUGGGGUCUUGUAACUGAAUUCAUACAACUGCUACACGGGCAGAGCACAUCUGAUUUCGGACCACCGUACUCAGCUCUGAUAAAGUUCAUGAAGUUUUCAACCCCCUCGACAUAUGCAACGGAGAAUCUUUGAGUAGAAGUUAUCCAAGUCCUAUCCAUCUGUUAGACAUACAAAUUAGUUCUUCUACUAGAUAUUACAGGAAAAACAUAUAUGCUUUUUUAUGAAGUCCAGAAAAAAAUACCUAGGUCGAUGCCUAAAGCUAUGGCAAGAUAUUUGGACGAGCAGAUCUAAGUAACGAAGUAUAUGUAAAGCUAAUUCAGCAAACAUAUUUGAGUGCUAAAUUAUGGCAGACUAUUUCAGCAGUCAAUGAGGCCGAGCACACAGCCAUCGAACUAUCGAAGGCCAUCGCAGCAACAAAGAUCGAGUAUAAAAUGGUGUAGAGCUAUUUCACCUAAUAGAUUGGCUACUAGACCAUGGCAAUCUACGUCACAAUAAAUAUAUGGCAGGAUAUUUUAGCAACUAAUCGGCCUUGGCAUGCCAUCUCAGCUAAGCAGAUUGAGUGCAGAACAGGGCAAGGAAGCUUCUUAAGCAGAGCAUAUUGACACUAAACUACUUCGGCAAACAGUAAGAUUAACAACGUCUAUCAGCUAACAUUCAGCGCUACACCGACAUGAAUGGGGCCUCAGUCUAGGAUGCGCGUACCGUGGGAGAAGCUGACCGCCAUGCGUCUCCACACGAACGUCGCCAGCGGUGGCGGCGCUGACCGCCAUGUGCCUCCACAAGAACGUAGCCAGAGGUGGCGGCGCGACUAGAGGACGGCAGUCUACGAGAGCGUACUGUGGGAGCGAGAGGAUCGCCGUGCGUCCCCUCAACGAACCGCGGCACCGACGUAUUGGUGCGGCGGGGAGGGCAGCUUUGGCGGAGCGAAUGGGGUNNNNNNNNNNNNNNNNNNNNNNNNNNNNNNNNNNNNNNNNNNNNNNNNNNNNNNNNNNNNNNNNNNNNNNNNNNNNNNNNNNNNNNNNNNNNNNNNNNNNNNNNNNNNNNNNNNNNNNNNNNNNNNNNNNNNNNNNNNNNNNNNNNNNNNNNNNNNNNNNNNNNNNNNNNNNNNNNNNNNNNNNNNNNNNNNNNNNNNNNNNNNNNNNNNNNNNNNNNNNNNNNNNNNNNNNNNNNNNNNNNNNNNNNNNNNNNNNNNNNNNNNNNNNNNNNNNNNNNNNNNNNNNNNNNNNNNNNNNNNNNNNNNNNNNNNNNNNNNNNNNNNNNNNNNNNNNNNNNNNNNNNNNNNNNNNNNNNNNNNNNNNNNNNNNNNNNNNNNNNNNNNNNNNNNNNNNNNNNNNNNNNNNNNNNNNNNNNNNNNNNNNNNNNNNNNNNNNNNNNNNGUGGGCGGGGGGAGUUUGGCGCAUGGUCGGUUUCUCCAAGUGCAGUCCCACGUGUCAGUGAAGAGGCAAGCCGAAGCGCGUUCCGUUUGCGUGAGCCGUGUACAUGACCGAACGUGUGUGGGGUGCAAUGCGACCGUGACAGGAGUGUUGUGAGUGUACCGCCUUUUUCCUUUUAAACUAGGUGCUUCGCCCCCUCAAAAAAAUAUAUUGUUGCUUCGCGCGAUCCAUCGAUACUACUACUAGUAAUCCGGUAAUCCCGACUAAAACGGCGCGGCCGAGUCUUUUCCCGCGCGAUAUGCUGGGAGGUUGGCUUAGUUGGGUUUUUUAGAUUUGGCUCGGUUCAAUAAAAAGCAGAGUUGGUGAUGAUGGUGUGUCUGUCAUCCUGCAAUAUAGGCCGUUCGAUCUAUAUCUAACGGAUAGGAAGGAAACUAUGACAAUUUACCCGCACUCCUCUCCACAUUUGCAGAUAAGGCUUUCCCUCGUUCAUCCUUUUCUCCCACAAGAUCUUGAUCUUCCGUGCAACACACGGGCAUCUUGCUAGUACUCCUACAAUAUGUAUAUUAUUGUGAAAGUUCAUAUACACUGGCCGAGAUUAAUGCAAACACGGCAUAUUUUCAUUACAUUUCGAACUUUUAUAGGACAGAAAAAUAAAAGAAACCCGACCCUAAACCUAUUCUACCGCGGCGACCGACGUCCUCCAUCUGCGAUCUCUAUGUACGGGGGCGGGGUUCAAGACCCGUGAAGUGAAGGUGCGGUCUCCGGCGAGGAAGAGUAGAACACGGGAUAUGGACCGGCCAGUUGGCACACCAUGCCCUACCGCCUCCCAUGCCCUACUCAUCCUCGGAGGAGUCCCCGACCUCGGCGGUGCCGGACGUUGGACGGCGGCAAGUAGGACGCGUGGCUGACGGUGCUCCCGUCGUCAGCCGCCAGCGGGGCCACCGCUUGUGCGGUCGCGUCCACGUACGACUACGCCGCUAUUGCGUCGCGAGAGGCGACUUGAGCGAGGGCGGCUACCUCGAGCUUCAUCGCCGAAGACAAGCUCUCCCGCAGAGCGUUCGCACUUGUGGUCAUGGCGGAUGUGGUGUCAGGUAGGAGGACGAUGCUCUAUGGUGUGGAGGUUAGUUGGGCGUUGCCGCUUUAAGUAGCACAUUCCGGUGAGGCCAAGCGUCCGGGUGCAUCAUUAAGUCACCGGAGUUGGUUCCUCGGGCACCGAGCCUCUUAACGACGACAUACAAACGGACGACAUGAAUGCGGGCAGCUGGCGCCGGCUGGGAACGCACCGUGCAACGGCGCGAGGGACGAGGGCUUUGGUGUGCCAGGGUAGUCAGCUGCGAUCGUGGCAACGUUGGAGAUGCCCUUUGCUCAAAUGCGAUCCCAGCAUGUCAUUGAAAAAGCAAGACGACCCGGCAUGGUCUCAGGUCCAAAGGAUGCAGUUGGCCGCGCUACACCACUCUGCAGAUGCGUCACGGUGCCCCGUGCAUCCUCGACGAGCCGGGUGUUGGGGUGUGUUUGGAUUGUGGCCAAAGUGCACCUUACCAAAAUUUUGGUCAUGACCCAAAGAUUGGUCUUUGUUUGGAUGGUUGCCAUUUUUUUGGCAUGCCAAUGAAGUCUAGCCAACUCUAGUUCAUUUUUCUUGCCAAUGUUGGCCAAAUCAUGGGCAACCAAUACCUCAACCAAAAUUUUAGUCAUGACCCAAAGAUUGGUCUUUGUUUGGAUGGUUGCCAUUUCUUUGGGAUGCCAAUGAACUCUAGCCAACUCUAGUUCAUUUUUCUUGCCAAUGUCGGCCAAAUCAUGGGCAACCAAUACCUCAACCAAAAUUUUGGCUACCCAAUACUUUGAUGGGGCAACCUUGGGCACAAACCAAACAUACCGUUGGUCGUGCCACAACACUAACGCCACCCUCGGCACACUGAAACCGACCGUGUCUAGCAACGAUAUGAGCGUGUCGCUCACCGCGGUCGCCGUGUCCAGAGGCGGUGCUGGAGCUGCGCCCCGUUGUUGGCCCCAACGACCCACGUGAACGGUUGUCGGUGGCGAGGAGGUCGUGGGCCAGCUCCUCCAUUGGACUAGUCUACGCUACGUCGUCCCGACGGGUGUGCCCCACAUGUCGGUUUCCCUGUUUUCCCGGCCAUAUUCAAGCGCCAGUGCUCCGCGUUGCGCAUUAGGCCUUUCACUAUGUAGGCCAAGCGAGACAACUUAUUGUUUAUUUGAGCCAUUCAAGUGUAAUCAUGUGGCGUUUGCUUAUUUCUCAUUCCUCUCCAACCCUCUUCUCCAUCGAUCAUGUCGCCCUCCAGUCGAGUCCAUCCUCCCGCAUGCCUCAUUUGAACAUUCCGCCGAGUAUCAUUCGCAUGUACCCACCCUAGUCCUCUUUCAAUAGAUCUCUGGACUCCGAGAUGAAAUCGAGAGGGAAUGAGUGGGGGCACGUGAUACCUAAGGCGGAUUCAACAUUUUGAACCGGUGAUCAUAGCAUCCGCAAAUCAUAUAUAAAGGGUAUUCAAUGUUCUUUUCGUUUUUGAACGUACAAUGUACUCCCUCCUAUCCUUUCUAGUUUUUUUGAACAUCAGUACAGACACAAGCGCUCAUAUACACAUGCAUACACUCAUCCCUAUGAACGCACACACACACACCCUACCCCUAUGAGCACCUCCGAAAGACUGAGUCGGCAUAUCAUCUUGAAAUUUACGAAGUCACCGUAGGCACCUUCGUCAUCGAUGGGAACGUCUCCUCCCACUGAAUGCGCAUCGCCGGAAAUCCUGAAAUAAAUCUAGGAAUAAAUGCGAGCACCAGGAUUUGAACCCUGGUGGGCUAGGGAUACCACAGUCCCUCUAACCAUCCAACCACAGGUUGGUUCGCCCUAUCCUUUCUAGUUUACAUAUAAGUUUUAUGUGUAGUCAAAGUAUCUCUACUAUGAUAAAAAAGGUAUCAACAUUCAACAAUGCCCAAUCAAUAUUGUUAGAUUCGUACGUACUCCUAGAUUCGUACUCAAGAUGGUUUCCAAUUUGACUAUUGACAAGAUUAAUAGUACAUGAGAUGUAUAAUGUGAAAAUUAUAUCAUUGGAAACUCCUUUCACAUACGAAAUUGACCGCUUUGUGUAAGUUGCAUGUCAUAUAUUAUUACUCUAACCUUUGGUCAAAGUUAGCCUCGAAAAAUGCAUUAGACCCUGUAUGCUUUGUGUAAGUUGCAUGUCAUAUAUUAUUACUCUAACAUUUGUGUAAGUUGCAUGUCAUAUAUUAUUACUCUAACAUUUGGUCAAAGUAGUAUAGUGGAAGUGGAUCCUCUGACGUAGGUAUCCCUGCCUUACCCUCCCUUUCGGUCACUUACUGGCGGACCCCAUGCUUGCUAGGCCCCACAUGUCAGUUACUCAAUGGGUUUGGCCACGUCAGGGGAUCCUCAUCCGUAGUAUACUCCCUCUGUUUUUAUUUACUCCGCAUAAAACGAAGGGAGUGGUGGUAUAAUAAAUGACGCGGGCGGGGGAGGGGGAGGGACGUCGGUUUGCUCUCAACUGCGGUCCCACAAGCGAGCGAAAACGCAAGAUGAAGCGCGUUCCAUUCGGUGAGCAACAUGGAGGGUCCAGCGUGCCGGGCUGCAACACGAACAUGCCAAGAGCGAUGUACAGUCAAAACCGAUUGACCGGUUGUCACCGGAACCACUAUUCACACCAGAACCUUUGCUGCUCGGCCUACGCCAGCCACUGCCCUAAAACCACACCAAAUCUCCAGCCCAUUCCCCCACCUUUCGAUCCCCUAGCCCGCAUCAAGCGUCCCCUAGUUCGCCGGAAAGCCAUGGUGCGUUACAAGAUCACUUACUACAAGAUGCUGACGCCGGAGCGCCGCGCAGAAAUCACGGCGGUGAUCGGUGCCACAGACCUCCGUUCCCAAGCUUGCUUUGUGGCGGGCCAAUCCCCGAGUUCUCUGGAGACAAGCUACGAGGAGGAGGAAGCCGAUCCAUUGUUCACUGCGGAGGUCGCGGCGCAGAAGGCCCCCGAUGGGUAUGAGACGACGGACGUCAACUUCGUGCCGGCGUUCGAGUCCCCCAUGGUGCAGGCGGACCAGCGGUUCAACAUGGCGAUACUAAAGGAGGACCGGGAGGUAGAGGCUCAACUCGACACGGAGCGCGCGCAUGCCGUUGCCAUCGAGGCUCUCCUGCAGGUGGAACCGGAUGUCGUGGAUGUGAACCGGGCGACGGAGGCUCAACUUGAGGCGGAGCGCGCGGAUGCCGCUGCCAUCGAGGCCCUCCUGCAGGCGGAACCGGACAUCCUGGACAUGAACCGGGUGAUAGAGGCUCGACUCGAUGCAGAGCGCGCGGAUGCCGCUCUCAUCGACGCCCUCCUGCAGGCGGAACCAGAAGUCCUGGACUUGAACCGGGCGGCGGAGGCUCGACUCAACACAGAGCGCGCAGAUGCCGCUGCCAUCGAGGCCCUCCUGCAGGCAGAACCGGACGUCCUCGACUUGAACCGGGCUGUGCUCUCGUCCGUGCAGAGCGCCCGCACGCUCCGCUUGAACGAGUAGCUGGAGGCCGAGGACAACCAUGGUGCGGAGACACACGACGACAGCGACGACUGGUUCGCGUCGGCAGCCAAAGACGACGAGGCCAUCUCUUUCCGCGAGCAGUGAUAGUUUUUCUUUAUGUUGUUGUUUUUAUGGAUCUUUUGCUGUGUAAAAACAUACUAUAUUUGUUAUGCAAGUCGCCUGGCGUGGGUCAGUCUACCAUUUCAGGCGGUUGGAUGAAUAUCCUACGUCUCCUAACCCUUCUUUCCUUCUUCCUCACCUCUUCUUCUUUCCCAACAGACCACCGCAUGGGCCGUACGGAUAAUCCCCAACAUGCGGUUGGAUAAACAUACUCUAUGAACGAAAAUUAUGUGUCAGCGAUAGGCUGGCUGAGUUUGGUUUGUUCACAUGCGACAGCACGUGUCAGUGAGGAUGUGUUCCCUUGGUUGGGUUUGCAGCGUGCAGGAGCGACUGUGUGAGGGUGCGGUGCGACCGCGGCGUGCAGGAGCGACCGUGUGAGGGUGUGGUGCGAUCGCGAUAGCCGUGCGCAAGUGUACCUCCUCAUUUUGAAAACUUUAGGCAAGCUUGGCAAAAAUGUGUGGCGAAGUUUGGCAAUGCAAGGCUUAGACCCAAACAGGAUAAGUACGUACGUACUAGGAGUACUAGUGUUAAAAAAGAAAGGCGGGGUUUUCCUUCGCGGGAUUUAAUCGAUACAAAUCCUCGUUUCAUGUGUCAAUUAAUGUGUAUUUUUUUCUCGAAAGACCAACGAGCUAACCAUCUCAUUCCUCAUCGCUUGAUUAAUGCAGCGCCAUGCAAACCAACCUUCUCACUUCCACAUGCAUGUAGGGGAUAUUAAUGUCCUUGGUUGCUAACCCCAUCAAUUUUGCCUCGAUUAGUGUUAGUGGCCCUUUACAAAUUGUAAUUUUGAUAUACUGGCCUUGUGUACAAAAAAAUGGAGGUAGUAACUAUAUUUGACUUCCUUCCCCAUUGCGGUGACGUCGAUGAUUUUUUUUUUGCGGUUUGGCGAAGUGCGUUCAACGGAGAACACCAUUGAGGGAGACCACGGUAAGUCGUUCGCAAGUGCCGCCUGCAAGCCGAGACAACCGCCUUAUUUGCAUCCAGGAAGUCCUUUACUAGUACUACUACUAGGAAUACUAGUGCGGUGAGAUGGUUUCUCGAAGAAGACGAUGGAGAAGCGGAGUCAGCGAAGAGUGAAAUGAUGGUUGCUUCGUCCGUGCUUCGUGAUUUAAAGCCUCACUGCUUUCUGAUUUGUGAUAGAAGGGACAGGGGAGUAGAGUAUGUGCUCUAUACUAUACUACAUGCGUCCAAGCAUGGAGAAAGAGGAGAGACGUUGCAUUUUUCUAUUCCUUCAAUCAAUCAAUCAGGGAGCUUCGGUUCCAUCUUUUUGGCUUUGGCAACACCGUCCACAAUGGUUCCCACGAUGCCAAAAGCUAUUUUCACAUUUGGCUACACAUUGUGGAUGCCCUUAACCGUACCACUUGGUUUUGCUCUUGUGUGCUAUCUAUACAAAUCUCAAUUAUAUUGAUCUAAAAAAUUAUAGAAUCAAGAUUAGUAAAAAGGAGGUGAAUUUGCCGCGCGGAUGGCGGGGGAGGUUUCCUAUUUUCAGAGGAUGUUGUCCUGGCGGUUUGCUAACAUGCGGCCCCACGUGUCAGUGCUUUACCAAGCCGAUCCGCGUCCCACAUGAGGCAGAACAACGGCAGAAGCAACACGUGGUUAAGUUGAAGAAGAUGAGGGAGAAGCGGAUUCAACAACGAGUGAAAUGAUGGUUGCUUCGUCCCUCCAACUUCUUUUUUUAGCAUUAUUACUUCGUCCCUCCAACUUAACUGCGGGAAAGGUGCAGCUUUGUGAUUUGACGCCUCAUUGCUCAUUACUACGCCAGCGCCACGACUGGGGUGCUUCACCCCGGCUGCUCUGCACUGUAUUCCGAUAUGGCACGUGGAGCCGGUAGCUUGAUGUCCCACAUGUCGGCGAAAGGGACUAGAAGAUUUAUGAAAGCGAGCGCUCCACUCUUACGACGGAGGAGUAGACGACACGACGGCCCAGUGAACUGUCACUUGUACUGUAUAGUACUAUAGUUUUGCUGUUUCGCACAAUCCAUCGUUACAAACAGGAAAGGGCGGGAUUUUCCCCGCGCGGUAGAUGAUACUGGCCAUACAUUUCAAAGGCAAUUUUUAAUGUAUGCAAACUGAAUAAUUAUAAGUAACAAUAUGAUAUCUAGUAAAACUAAAAACACAUAUGAUUUAUUGUGUUAGAGUGUAGUAGUAGUGCUGUAUUGCAUAGUUGUUACAUGUAACAUGCGAGAACGUGUAGAGAUGUAGUUUUGGAGGGCCUACAGAGAGAAAAGCGUAAUACGGUCAACGAACUUCAGAAUAAGCUGAUUACGAUCACUAUAUACGUUUUGCGGUGAUUAUCCAGUCACUUGCUCACAGUUCAGCAUCGGAUUGCACUCUGUUGACCGGCCAAAUAGUCUGCGUGGCGCCAUGUUGACUAGUUAAAUUGACCAUGUUCCUUGUGGGUCCCACCUGUCAGUUCGCAUAGGAAAAAGAUCAGGUAAACACAAAUUUACGCAGGCGCGACAAGGCUCCAACCCGUGCGCGGGAAUCACCUAGUUGUGUAUGUGUCUGUCAGGGCCUGAUGUAUGUGCAUGCAUGUGUAGGUUGAGUACUUGAGCGUGAGAGUGUGUGUUGGUCAUGUGGUGUACUGGUGUGUGCAUGCAUGCGUGCGUGUGUGCAUGUGAGUGUUGCGUGCAUGCGUGGCUGCGUGUGUACGUGUGAGUGUUGUGUGCAUGCGUGGGUGCAUGUGUUUGUGUGAGUGUUGCGUGGAUGCAGUUCGUGUGCAUGCGUGCGUGUGUAUAUAAUCACCACACCAGCUCAUGUGUAUUAAAACAGACGGCUCAGCAUACCAAUACAAGGCCACCUUGUCCGCUGUGCCCGCGGUCAUGACUUCAAACCACCGUCAAAAUAUUUUUUUGUCGUUUGUUUUCAUUCUUACUAGCAAGAUGCCCGUGCGUUGCACGUAACAUCAAGAUGCAUUUGUAUGACUUGUUUAUCUUGUGAGAGAAAAGGAUGAACGAGGGAAGGGCCUUAUUUGCAAAUGUGGAGAGGUGUGUGGGUACCUUUUUGCAAAAUUGCCAUAGUUUCUUUCCUAUCCGUCAGAUAUAAAUUGGACGGCCUAUAUUGCAGGAUGGCAGGCACAUCAUCAUCACCAACUCUGUUUUUUAUAAGAGUGUAUUUUAUGUAUUUUAUAAGAGUGUAGAUGUAGAGUAGAUACAAGUCGAUAGGUGGGCAUGAUGGUAGUGAGAUAAUGUGAUGCAACACUAGAGGUGCCACAUGGAGCGUUUAACUGGUCAACUAGUCAUGUCAUGAGCAAAUACGGAGUUGUACGGUGAGCCCGUGACUAUAUAAUAACCACUAAACGUAAACGGUGACCGUAAUGAGUGGAUUAUGAAGUCCAAUGUAUGUAUGGUGCUUUCGCUUCAAAUACAAUGAUCGUCAUAGCAUAUAUCGCGAGAGAAAGAUGAAACACGCGUGAAUUUUCUAGGGGCUUACUUUUAGAGGACCUGGAGAUAGUUUUGUGUGCAUACGUGAAAGGGGCGUACAGGGGGGGGUAUGCGAUGGAGAGAGAGAUGCUCUUCGUUUCUCUUUAUUAUGACUAACUUUGUAUAUAGUAUAAAAAUAUACAAAUUCACAGUGCGGAAUAAAUAUCAUUGUGGGCACCAUGCAAUGCAAAUUAGCAUUCGUACUCCUCCAUAUAAAUUUGUAAUGUUGUAUAUAUGUAGAAACUCUAAAAUAAUUUUUUGGCCACACUUUAUUCAAAAGGAAUGUUGUAUGCGAAAUAAACGUGAAGAGAGGGCUUUUUAGAUCAAUGGGGUACGUGAUGUAACAUGUGUGAAUGUGUAGUUGAUGCAUUUGGUGGGGCCUAGAGAGGUAUGUGUGUGUAUUACGUAUUCGAGAGAGGCAUGGAUACAGGGGCCGAUGGGGGGGAGUGGGAGAGAUAGCACGAGAAAUGAGAGUGGUCUAGAGAGAGAGACGAAUAUGACGUCACAACAAGAGAUUCCAUUCCCUUGAGUGUGUAUAUGCAAGGGGGGAGGGAAUAGAGGCACCAGGAGAAAUUUUCUGUGUGUGUGGUGUUUGUGUUGGUAUGUGUGGGUGUGAGAAGAUAAUGAGACGUGGGGGCAGAGGGUGUGUCAGCGCAUGAGGUCCGGUGGGUCGAGGUGAGGCCCUUCAUUUGGUUCCGUCCUGCGCCACAUUGGUCGGCCCAUGAUACAUUUAGGAAGACCCAUGGAUGACUAGUUGUACAAGACAAAGAUAGCAGAAUUGUGAAGGACUCUGUGUCCACUGACAAAGCUGGCUAGGAUUUGUAACCCUAGGUUCUCGGACUAAGGUAACCCCUUUAUCUCUGAUAUUACUAUUCAUCCAACCUAACUUUAAGGGGCAUCCUACAGAAUGCUCUGCUAGAAUCAUACUCGUCGAUUAGGAAGAGAGGUGUGAGACAAUGUGUGAGAGACAUGCAUAAAGAUAAUGUGCGUACAGGAGACACGUAGGCAGGUCCAUGUAUAUAGAAAGGGUCGAUGAGGAUUAUGCAUGUGUAUGUUUGCGAGAGGAAGAGUGCUUGUGAUAAAGGUUAGUGAAAACAGUUGUAAAUGGUUACGAGAGGGAGGGAGGGUUAUAUCUAGAGCAUGUGUGCGAGAAAGACACCUCGGGAGAGAGUGUGUGAGCAUGUGUGAGAGACCGCCGAUGGAGAGUGAAACUACAUGUAAAAGACUGCUCUACACAUUGAUUAAAGAUAUAAAUUGUAUCCAAAUAUUAGGAUGGGAUCAUGAUAUUUGCAAUUCGCGUAAGGAGCGGUCAUUGAUCCAUCAGACAUCUAGAUUCUAUCGAAUUUGAGCAUGUCUAUGUUAUUAUUCGACACAAUUGAUCCACAUAGUUAGUAUUUUGAACUCCAGACAAUGCAUCGCUUUAGCAAUCGAAUAUAAACGUGAGUAUAGUUCAUGUUGUGUGUGUAAAGCACAUUAUACAUACGAAAGUUACACAAUGGACAUUAUAAAUAGCUACCUAUGAACUAGCAUACAUUUGAAUUCAACUUAAGGUGGUUUAAAAAAAUCGAAUUCAACAUGAAGUCCAUUCAAUUAUUUGAAUUUGAUAUCAUGGCAUUUGUAAACCAUACCUAAAUUAUGGGGGCACCAAUCUUUGCUCUGAUUUUGUACAUAAUAGCAUAUAUAGUCGUGUACAAAAUAGAUUCAAAUUUAGCUCCUCCAUUCCAAAAUAAUCAUAGUUAUAGGAUUUUCAAGUGUCAAAAUUUCAAAAAGAAGCAGAUAAUUUAAUGAGGUUUCAAACAUACAAGGUCAAAUAUAACAUUGUCUAUUUAGGUCAAUCCUCAUAGUUCAAGAGUACUCUAAACGUGAAUGCUUGUGUUUCAAAAUUUCGAAUGAAGCGCCAAAAGAGCCUCUACUCGCCCGAAACCGCGUGAGACCAAUGUUUGGUAGUACAAGGAAAUUACUUUUCUAAUAACUCCGACCCGUGAAACCUACCGGCCCGACGCCCAAAGGUCUAAACCGGGGUAGGUUUGUAGCUUCAUCUAGACGCCACACAACCGCCUCCGAAAAACAUUCAUACACAAUGGCCGCCUAAGCACACAUGCACGCGGCCGAAAUCGCUCCCGCCCACUAUUUGGGACACCUGGGAUUACCAUCCUACCCCCAAACCGUAGUAGGUCCGAAAUUUAAGAGGGGGGCAAAGUUUGUACUUUCCCCAAAUUUCAAACAAGCGCGUCCCAUCUUCUGUUCAAAAAAGCCAAAAACAAGCGCGUCCUAGACCGAAACAUGGUUCCCCCCCACCCAUCUGAUUCCCCAUUCAUACUCCAUGGGUGCCAAAACUACCUCUCCACCAGCCGCGAAACCCCGGCGUCCUCUGUCCGCCACCCCAUCCCACCCAUCAACCGCCGCCCUCCUCCAUCACGCCGGAGCCGAUACCCCGAUAUCGUCGUCCACCGCAACCUCAACCGCAACGCCCUCCACGGCUAGUAGUUGAAGCCGAGGCCGAGCCGUCCGUACUCGAGCCAGUUCAACCACGCCGUCCUGCGCCUCACUGCUGCCGCUCCAACUUUUCCACCCUCCACCGCACCGGAGUUGUUCCUGCUACGCCAUCCUUCGCCGCCUCGGAUCUGCUUCCCCUCUGCCGACAUACGACCACGGCAACACAGUCAACAAUUUGGCCAUGGGUUCAUCCAAGCCUGCACCCUCCAGAACAUUGGUUUCCCCGGUAAAAAGAAGAAGAUCGGCGCGACAUGUGGAGGUGACCACACCGGCAACCGAAGAAGGUACUCCUCUUCCCUUAUUCGUGCAAAUCUUACGUCUCUGCUUGCACGGUAUUCAUCCCACAGAAGACACUAGUUGACCGCUUCUUCUUGAUACUAGAUGUUCCUAGUAACUCGCGAUGCACAAGGUUUGUCCUCAUAUACUAUUUCACCUUAGCUAGAGGUCCGUCGCCCCCCUGAAUUUCAAUUUCUGGCUAGUUGAUUCCCAAUUAACGGAAGCAUUCCCCGGCGUAAUAGGCGCUAGUAUGACUAUUACGCCUGGGAAGCAGCGCCUUGGUGUUUAUCUUAGGGGCGUGUGCGGCCUAGAGCUACUGGCGCCCGAUUUGGAGGUCGUCCGGGAUUAAAGGGAUGGCCUGGGGGCGCUGCCAAGCACGGCGGUAGUGUGAGGUCAAUGGGAGGCCGGGACGGCGGAGGCAGGUGUCUGGGCCGGUGGUCGCUGGCGGUUCGAGAAAGAUCGUCAAUAGUGACUGACGGGAGGUAGACGAAGGCCAUCUGCCCGUUCCUUAUAGAUCAGACGAUUCAUUAAAAAAAUCGACUCACCUAUUUAUUUUCAGUCGACUGUUAUCUUAGAUAUGACCACAUGUGGUGGUGUGCUGGAGGAGUACCUGCAUUUCCUGUGCUCAUAUAUUACAAAAUCAUACGGACUAGAAUCUAAUUUUGUUUGCCAUGCAAUGUUGUAGAGCUAUCAUAUGUCUCCUGUCAUUUAUUUUUCAGCCACCUGCUAUCUGCUACUUUUAUAGUCCAUCUAGUUCGGCACACACUUCACCCAUACUCUCACUAUUGUGUUUUUAUGCAAGGGUAUUUCAGAGUCUGCCUCGAGAGAAGCAAAAAAACAAAAGAGACAAGUCGUGCCAGCUUUCUACGCGGCUAGGCACGGCACGUUAUAGCGCUAUAAAGGGUGCAGUGUCAGCAGAUGGAGACGGUAAACAUAGCUCUGGAGUUGAUGACCUCGCUCACAAUGAACCACCAUCCCAGGUGCUUGCUUUAACUUCGCGGUGUCAUAUGUGGUUGCAUGUUCCAUAUGGUGUCUAGCUUGUAUUCGAAAGGCCGAAGUCGGUCUUUAUUAAGAUAAGGAAAUAUAUUUUUUACAUGAACCACCAUCCCGUGAGCACCAGAAGACAAAUAGCUAGUCAGGGCACUGGCCGAGCCAGUGACAAGCCCAACAAAGACAUGCAUCACCUGGAAGCCAACUAAAAAGCCGCGAUGGUGGCAAAGCAGCCCACCUCCCACCAGGCUCUCAGGUCCUAGAUGAUCAUGUUCAACACUCCAGCCGGAUGUCUAGCUUGUAUUGCUUCCAAUUUGGUUAAAUGGCAUCUGCUUAGCUUACACAUUAUACCUUUGAAUAUGACAUGCCUUUCUAUUUUUGGUACAUACUAGUACAUCUGUGUAUUAACCAUGUUCUUACAUCAAACUAAUAUUCUUGUGUAUCCCUCAUCAAUCACUUAUGACGAGGCAGGCAGGCAAGGGGACUACUCCUCAUUUAAAGAAUGCAGCGUCAGCCUCCCGACAUGAUUCUCAAGAAACAGAAAUGCUAGAUGAAGAUAGUGAACGUAGCUCUGUAGUUGAUUACAGCAUUUCCCCUACACUAGCAUCGUAGGUGCUUGCUCUAACUUGGCAGCGUGAUAUGUGGUUGCAUGUUGCAUAUGGUGUCUAGAUUGUAAUUCUUCCAAUCUAGUUAAAUUGCAUGUGCUAGUCUUCUUAGCUUAUACUCCCUCCGUCCCAUAAUGUAAGACGUUUUUGGCACUAAAUUAGUGCCAAAAAACGUCUUACAUUAUGGGACGGAGGGAGUACAUUAUACCUGUUAAUGUGACAUGCCUUCCUGUAUUUAGUACAUAGUACAUCUGUCUAUUAAGCAUGUCCUUACAUAAAACUAUUGUUUUUUUGUAUCCCGCAUCAAUCAAUAUGACGAGACACCUUUAGUAUAUGCAGUGCGAUAUUAGUUGCAUCUUUCAUAUGAUUUAUAGCAUGCACUGCUUCUAAUUUGUUGAAAUUCCAUUUAUGAUGGGACGCUUCUAACUUGGCAGAGUCAUAUUGGUUGCAUCUUUCAUGUGGUGUCUAGCUUGCAUUGCUUCUUAUUUGCUGGAAUGGUUUCUGCUUAGUUUACACAAACAGUUGUGAACAUGCCAUGUCAUCCUGUUUUUCGUACAUAUUCCAUCCUGGUAUCAUGUGUUUGCCUUACAUCAAAGUAGUGAUUGUCAGUAUCAUGCAUGAAUGAGUUCUGAAGAGAGAAUUUUAUUGCUUUUUCUUGUCGGUUUUACUUGACAAUUCAAAACCAAUAAAGUGGAAGGAAGUUAGCAAGGCAGCGGAUAAAGGUGCUCCUUUUGAACGGAGGGCCUCUACAGUUUCUACUCCUUCACACCCCAAGAUGAUUUCCAAGACAACACAUGCAUAGACAGUCAACAAAGCUGUGUUUAUGAUGAGCAUGUCUCCCCUAGUGCAGCAUCACUGGUGCUCCCUCUAACUUGGCACUGUUAUAUGUGGUUGCAUGUUAUGUGUGAUGUCUAGCUUGUAUUGCUUCUAAUUUUGUUGAAUUCCAUCUGCUUACUUUACACAUUAUACUUGAAUAAGACAUGUGUUCCUGUUUCUAGAACAUACAAUAUCUGUCUAUCACACCAUGUUCUUACAUCAAAUUACUACUGUUGUGUAACCUACAACAAUCACUUAUCAUAAGACACGUUUGACUUCGGAGUGUGAUAUAGGUUACAUCUCACAUUCUUUUCUAGCUUGUACUACUAAUUUGUUGAAAUGGCACUUAUGACGAGACAGUUUUAACUUGGUAGAGUGAUAUUCGUUGCAUCUUUCAUAUGGUGUCUAGCUUUCAUUGCUUCUAAUUUGUUGAAAUGCCUUCUCCUUAGUUUACACAUCAUAAGCUGUGAAUAUGCAAUGCUGUGAAUAUACAAUGGCACUAAUGACGAGAGACCUCUAACAUGGUAGUGUGAUAUUGUUUGCAUCUUGCAUAUGAUUUAUUUCUUGUACUGCUUCACAUUUGUUUAAACGCCAUUUAUGAUGAGACACUGUUAACUUGGCAGAGCCAUAUUUGUAGCAUCUUUCAUAUGGUGUCCACCUUCCAUUGCAUUGCUUCUAUUUUGGUGAAAUGUCUUCUUCUUAGUUUACACAUCAUAGUUCUGGUUAUCUCUUCCGUCCUGUUUUUCAUACAUAUUACAUCCUCCUAUCAUGUGGUUUUCUAACAUCAAAGUUUAGUUUGUCUGCAUCACGCAUCAAUUUGUUCUGAAGAACUAAAUUGUUAUUCGUUUUUCUUGUCGGCUUAACUUAACAUGGCACAGAGAAAGAGGAAGAAACACAGAAUGGCAGGGAAUGAGAAGCGGAUGAAUCCCGCAGAUUCUGCUGGUACUGAUGGUGCAAUAGAAGGUCAAAGUCCAACGGAAAAUUCUACAAAUACGGCAUCCCAUGCUACACGAGCUGCAAAAAAAGCCAAACAGAAACAAAUAGAUGCCACCAAACAAGCAGAGACAGCCCUAGUUCUUGCAACACCUACCACAGUACUACCAGCUGCACGACUUACUCAUGCGUCAACUGAGCUAGCAGCACGUUCCCAAGCUCCCUUGCCACCUGACACUAAUUCCCAAGCACUCUUGACACAAGACGAGUUGGCAAUAUCAGAUGAACCUUGUGAGCUUCAACAGCAAGAAGGUAGUUGCUGGAGUCAAGUUACAGUUGCAUGCUUCUUUAUAUGUAGUCUCACAGUUUGAUGUACACUAACACUUCCUAUGUUCGUUGUUGGACUAGCACCUAGGAGCAAGAGGAAACAAACAUCAGGGAUAAUGCUCAAUAGGUUAACUAAAUCUAGAGGAGGAAGAAUGGAGAUCCGUUUUGAGGCAGGUUUAAAAAGGCCACAUGAUGCUACAGAGUCAGCCAAGUUAGUAUCAGAGGCAACGGUUGCCGUUAGGUGUCAUGUACAUAUCCUCCCAACAUGGAUUCAGUACAGGAAUGACAAAGACGAAACCCAGUUCAACACCUUCCUCGACCAUUUAUCUGUAAGUAUGGUUAUGUAUGGAAACUAGUAAUACCAUCUUGCUCUGUCCCAUACUUUCUAGGUUGCUGAUAAUGAGACUCCCAUAAUUUUCAAUAGAUGAGGUUCAAGUUGGAUAGCCAAGAUGAUGCAACCAGACAAGCUUGCACCCAUGUUUUCAAGUCUUCUCUGCGAUAGUAUCGGUAUAACUUGAGGAAAAC